Molecule: ribosomal RNA, 253 nt
Filed under: uncultured bacterium
Lineage: Bacteria
Description: partial 16S ribosomal RNA
Rfam family: Bacterial small subunit ribosomal RNA
Source: RNAcentral
UACGGGGGGGGCAAGCGUUGUUCGGAAUUACUGGGCGUAAAGCGUGCGCAGGCGGCUUUGCAAGACAGAUGUGAAAUCCCUCGGCUUAACCGGGGAACUGCGUCUGAUACUGGAUGGCUUGAGUUCGGGAGAGGGAUGCGGAAUUCCAGGUGUAGCGGUGAAAUGCGUAGAUAUCUGGAGGAACACCGGUGGCGAAGGCGGCAUCCUGGACCGAUACUGACGCUGAGGAGCGAAAGCCAGGGGAGCAAACGGG